GUAAUCAUCACGCGAUGGGGACCGUUGACUGUUUACACAGUCACGUCAUGGGGACCGGUUGCGCUUUGGGGACCAAAAUCCCGGUCCCCAUGAGGAUAACCCUUUUAAAUGACUACUAGAGCUACUCUGAAGGUGCCCGUGAAGUUUUAAGCAUUGGCCCAUACGACAUGUUUUUUGGUGAGUGUGAGUGUGUGAGCAUUGCUCAUUGGUGGCCCUACUGUUUCUAGUUAGUACUGCACCCACUGCUUCACACACACACAUCUUCCAAAUAUGGUUGGGUGCCACCCACUUCCUUGUCCCCAUUAGGAAUGAUUCAAGCAGCGAGGACAUUUUCAGCAUCAAGAGGUAGCUAUCAACAGUAAAAGAAGAUUAUUUGCUGGAGAAACUAGCUAAGAAGAUAAGAACAUGUGCAGAGGAGCAAAAGUAAAGCAUAAGAAAUGCCACCACGGAUCAACAAUUCAACAUGAUACACAUCUGCAAAUUAGAGGUCCAGUAUAUUUAUGCAGCAAAAGUAUUGAUGCCUUCAGAGAAGAUGGCUCAAUUGGGUGACAAGUUAAUGAUGAACACAGACGUCCUUACUCCAAAAUGAAAAAAAUUGGUGUUAAUGGAGAACCCCACCUUUGUUUAUUUGCCCUGGAUGACAUCAAAGAAGGAGAAGAAAUCGCCUAUAACUAUAGAGGUGAAGACUGCCCAUGGCAAACACAGACGACCAGCAUCACUGUUAACACCAUGGAGGAGGAUGAUUCAGAUCCUGUCCACUCAGAGAGUCUGAUGGCUUGUGCCUUUGGGCCAAAGACACCACCUGAAGAGGUACAACUGCCCAAAAGAAGAAAACACCCUGGAAGGAGACAGACGUGAAGGCAGUGGAAAGGCACAUGAAUCGAUUCAUCACAUCUUGUAUUGCUCCAGCAAAGUUUGACUGUGAGAAGUGUUUAAGGGCUGAUCCAGAAGCUCUUAAGGACCGGAGCUGGCAGAAUGUGAAAUUCUACAUAUAUAACCGCAUUACAGCCAACAAGAGGAAAUUAAGUAAAUAAUGGGAAGAUUACCACCAGUAAGCGGUUGCUAUGUGGUUGUCUGAAAUUAAAAAUAUCUUACAAAUUUGA
Molecule: long non-coding RNA, 1103 nt
Organism: Platichthys flesus (European flounder)
Lineage: Eukaryota; Metazoa; Chordata; Actinopteri; Pleuronectiformes; Pleuronectidae
Exons: 5
Source: RefSeq, a predicted model, not a curated record